AUGGAUGACACAUGUCAUUUAUUUGAAAGGGGCAAUUGCUCCACUACAAGAUGGACCUGCGUUGUAUUAGCUAGUAGGUGAGGUAAUGGCUCACCUAGGCGACGAUACAUAGCCGACCUGAGAGGGUGAUCGGCCACACUGGGACUGAGACACGGCCCAGACUCCUACGGGAGGCAGCAGUAGGGAAUCUUCGGCAAUGGGGGCAACCCUGACCGAGCAACGCCGCGUGAGUGAAGAAGGUUUUCGGAUCGUAAAGCUCUGUUGUAAGUCAAGAACGGGUGUGAGAGUGGAAAGUUCACACUGUGACGGUAGCUUACCAGAAAGGGACGGCUAACUACGUG
RNAcentral lists this ribosomal RNA (341 nucleotides) under uncultured Streptococcus sp. RNAcentral's name for it is "bacterial SSU rRNA". It matches the Rfam family "Bacterial small subunit ribosomal RNA", at positions 179 to 507 of the family's 1533-position model. The record is from RNAcentral. Lineage: Bacteria; Bacillati; Bacillota; Bacilli; Lactobacillales; Streptococcaceae.